GCAACAUGAACAAUUGAAAAUACACAAAGGACACUGGUAAUGCCAUAUAGAAUUUGUAUCAGACAUGACCAAGUUGAAACAUGUUCCUGGAAGGAACAUACGACAACCUACUUUGUUACUAGCUUCUGUAAAUGAUCGAGAUAUUAGAUAGUCCAAACUGAUCCAUAUCUUUACCUUGGAAAGCUGUGAAAUGUAAAACUUUUGGCAAAAGCAUAUAAAUGAAGAUAACUUGCAACUUUACUAUUCAUUUAAUUCCUUUUUUCACAGUAUUUAGAUGUUAAACUGGCUGGAGAAUUCAGAGACAAAUUGACACUCCACAAGUGUCAGUGACCCAGAUAACAAGAAUUUAAGAUAAAUUGGCCAACAAAUGAACGCAGUUAUUUUACAGCAAAUAAGCCCAACAGCUACAAUUUUUCCAUUAGUUUAGAACUCUAGAUGGAAACAACAAGAG
This 451-nucleotide unclassified non-coding RNA is filed under the name Hevea brasiliensis (rubber tree). The record is from RNAcentral. Lineage: Eukaryota; Viridiplantae; Streptophyta; Magnoliopsida; Malpighiales; Euphorbiaceae.